RNAcentral lists this ribosomal RNA (497 nucleotides) under uncultured bacterium. RNAcentral's name for it is "partial 16S ribosomal RNA". It matches the Rfam family "Bacterial small subunit ribosomal RNA", at positions 28 to 507 of the family's 1533-position model. The record is from RNAcentral.
GACGAACGCUGGCGGCGUGCCUAAUACAUGCAAGUUGAGCGCUGAAGGUUGGUACUUGUACCAACUGGAUGAGCAGCGCACGGGUGAGUAACGCGUGGAGAAUCUGCCUUUGAGCGGGGGACAACAUUGGGAAACGAAUGCUAAUACCGCAUCAGAACUUUAAACACAAGUUUUACGUGUGAAAGAUGCAAUUGCAUCACCCAAAGAUGAUUCCGCGUUGUAUUAGCUAGUUGGUGAGGUAAAGGCUCACCAAGGCGAUGAUACAUAGCCGACCUGAGAGGGUGAUCGGCCACAUUGGGACUGAGACACGGCCCAAACUCCUACGGGAGGCAGCAGUAGGGAAUCUUCGGCAAUGGACGGAAGUCUGACCGAGCAACGCCGCGUGAGUGAAGAAGGUUUUCGGAUCGUAAAACUCUGUUGUUAGAGAAGAACGGUGGUGAGAGUGGAAAGUUCAUCAAGUGACGGUAACUACCCAGAAAGGGACGGCUAACUACGUG